AGACCCGAAACCCGGUGAUCUAGCCAUGGGCAGGUUGAAGGUUGGGUAACACUAACUGGAGGACCGAACCGACUAAUGUUGAAAAAUUAGCGGAUGACCUGUGGCUGGGGGUGAAAGGCCAAUCAAACCGGGAGAUAGCUGGUUCUCCCCGAAAGCUAUUUAGGUAGCGCCUCGUGAAUUCAUCUCCGGGGGUAGAGCACUGUUUCGGCUAGGGGGCCAUCCCGGCUUACCAACCCGAUGCAAACUGCGAAUACCGGAGAAUGUUAUCACGGGAGACACACGGCGGGUGCUAACGUCCGUCGUGAAGAGGGAAACAACCCAGACCGCCAGCUAAGGUCCCAAAGUCAUGGUUAAGUGGGAAACGAUGUGGGAAGGCCCAGACAGCCAGGAUGUUGGCUUAGAAGCAGCCAUCAUUUAAAGAAAGCGUAAUAGCUCACUGGUCGAGUCGGCCUGCGCGGAAGAUGUAACGGGGCUAAACCAUGCACCGAAGCUGCGGCAGCGACACUGUGUGUUGUUGGGUAGGGGAGCGUUCUGUAAGCCUGUGAAGGUGUGUCGUGAGGCAUGCUGGAGGUAUCAGAAGUGCGAAUGCUGACAUAAGUAACGAUAAAGCGGGUGAAAAGCCCGCUCGCCGGAAGACCAAGGGUUCCUGUCCAACGUUAAUCGGGGCAGGGUGAGUCGACCCCUAAGGCGAGGCCGAAAGGCGUAGUCGAUGGGAAACGGGUUAAUAUUCCCGUACUUGGUGUUACUGCGAAGGGGGGACGGAGAAGGCUAUGUUGGCCGGGCGACGGUUGUCCCGGUUUAAGCGUGUAGGUGUGUGUUCCAGGUAAAUCCGGUUCACUUUAACACUGAGGCGUGACGACGAGGCACUACGGUGCUGAAGCAACAAAUGCCCUGCUUCCAGGAAAAGCCUCUAAGCAUCAGGUAACAUCAAAUCGUACCCCAAACCGACACAGGUGGUCAGGUAGAGAAUACCAAGGCGCUUGAGAGAACUCGGGUGAAGGAACUAGGCAAAAUGGUGCCGUAACUUCGGGAGAAGGCACGCUGACACGUAGGUGAAGUGAUUUACUCAUGGAGCUGAAGUCAGUCGAAGAUACCAGCUGGCUGCAACUGUUUAUUAAAAACACAGCACUGUGCAAACACGAAAGUGGACGUAUACGGUGUGACGCCUGCCCGGUGCCGGAAGGUUAAUUGAUGGGGUCAGCGCAAGCGAAGCUCCUGAUCGAAGCCCCGGUAAACGGCGGCCGUAACUAUAACGGUCCUAAGGUAGCGAAAUUCCUUGUCGGGUAAGUUCCGACCUGCACGAAUGGCGUAAUGAUGGCCAGGCUGUCUCCACCCGAGACUCAGUGAAAUUGAACUCGCUGUGAAGAUGCAGUGUACCCGCGGCAAGACGGAAAGACCCCGUGAACCUUUACUAUAGCUUGACACUGAACAUUGAGCCUUGAUGUGUAGGAUAGGUGGGAGGCUUUGAAGUGUGGACGCCAGUCUGCAUGGAGCCGACCUUGAAAUACCACCCUUUAAUGUUUGAUGUUCUAACGUGGACCCGUUACCCGGGUUGCGGACAGUGUCUGGUGGGUAGUUUGACUGGGGCGGUCUCCUCCUAAAGAGUAACGGAGGAGCACGAAGGUUGGCUAAUCCUGGUCGGACAUCAGGAGGU
Molecule: ribosomal RNA, 1654 nt
Filed under: Salmonella enterica
Lineage: Bacteria; Pseudomonadati; Pseudomonadota; Gammaproteobacteria; Enterobacterales; Enterobacteriaceae
Also listed under: 1 other name
Description: partial 23S ribosomal RNA
Rfam family: Bacterial large subunit ribosomal RNA
Source: RNAcentral